CGCGUGGGGAUCUGUCUCCGGGUGGGGGAUAACGAUGGGAAACUAUCGCUAAUACCGCAUGAAGCCCGAGGGCCAAAGGCGUUGGGGAAACCUGACGUCGCCUGGAGAGGAACCCGCGUACGAUUAGCUUGUUGGCGGGGUAAAGGCCCACCAAGGCGACGAUCGUUAGCUGGUCUGAGAGGAUGAUCAGCCACACUGGGACUGAGACACGGCCCAGACUCCUACGGGAGGCAGCAGUGGGGAAUAUUGGACAAUGGGCGAAAGCCUGAUCCAGCAAUGCCGCGUGAGUGAAGAAGGUCUUCGGAUUGUAAAGCUCUUUCGACGGGGACGAUGAUGACGGUACCCGUAGAAGAAGCCCCGGCUAACUUCGUGCCAGCAGCCGCGGUAAUACGAAGGGGGCUAGCGUUGCUCGGAAUGACUGGGCGUAAAGGGCGCGUAGGCGGUGAGUACAGUCAGACGUGAAAUUCCCGGGCUCAACCUGGGGGCUGCGUUUGAUACGUGCUUGCUUGAGUUCGGAAGAGGGUCGUGGAAUUCCCAGUGUAGAGGUGAAAUUCGUAGAUAUUGGGAAGAACACCGGUGGCGAAGGCGGCGACCUG
Molecule: ribosomal RNA, 596 nt
Filed under: uncultured Alphaproteobacteria bacterium
Lineage: Bacteria; Pseudomonadati; Pseudomonadota; Alphaproteobacteria
Description: bacterial SSU rRNA
Rfam family: Bacterial small subunit ribosomal RNA
Source: RNAcentral